Molecule: ribosomal RNA, 451 nt
Filed under: uncultured bacterium
Lineage: Bacteria
Description: partial 16S ribosomal RNA
Rfam family: Bacterial small subunit ribosomal RNA
Source: RNAcentral
GUGGGGAAUUUUGGACAAUGGGCGCAAGCCUGAUCCAGCAAUGCCGCGUGCAGGAAGAAGGCCUUUUGGUUGUAAAGCACUUUAAGCGAGGAGGAGGCUACCGAGAUUAAUACUCUUGGAUAGUGGACGUUACUCGCAGAAUAAGCACCGGCUAACUCUGUGCCAGCAGCCGCGGUAAUACAGAGGGUGCAAGCGUUAAUCGGAUUUACUGGGCGUAAAGCGCGCGCAGGUGGCCAAUUAAGUCAAAUGUGAAAUCCCCGAGCUUAACUUGGGAAUUGCAGUCGAUACUGGUUGGCUAGAGUAUGGGAGAGGAUGGUAGAAUUCCAGGUGUAGCGGUGAAAUGCGUAGAGAUCUGGAGGAAUACCGAUGGCGAAGGCAGCCAUCUGGCCUAAUACUGACACUGAGGUGCGAAAGCAUGGGGAGCAAACAGGAUUAGAUACCCCUGUAGUCC